ACACCUGAAACAAGCAUGUUUCUCAAGCCACUGAAUCUGGAACUCCAACCGUCUUAACCACCACGCUGGCCAUGAGCUGGCCGCCAGCAAAGUCGUCUUACUGAAAUUCACUCCUGGCCUCAGCUGGCCUGGAUUAGGAACACAGAUGCAUCUGCAGUUUGCAAACCUGGGACCUUCUCAGGACGACAUUUUGCAUGCAGAGAGACUCUGGGUGGGACCAUAUGGCUUCCUGCAUUUUCUUCAAUCAAAGUGGAACCAAGAGAAGUGGCAAGAAUGAGGAGAAAAAGAAAAGGGAAAGGGGCUCAUCACAGUGUCAUUGUUGUAGAGUCCCACGAAAUCACAUCCAUUUGGUUUAGCCGUUCAUCUUUUCUCUCUAGGGUCAAGGUGUUUCUGCCCACUUUCUGUUUCACAAAGUGAGUUGUAAAUUUUAUGGGUUUGUAUUUAUGCAGUUGGAAUUUUGAAAUAGAGGGGAAAAUUAAAAGGGAGGAAACUCUUGAUUGUAGGAUCAAAGUUCUACUUAAAAGUUGUGCAAAUUAGGAAGCUUAAAAACCUUACAUUUUUAAGGUAUUUACAGUUUACAGAGCAUUUUCACAUACAAUGAUUUUUGAAUGCACAUGGAGGGGGGUCCAGGGCUGCAACGUGAGCUAUCAGCAGAGCUAUAACUGUAAACCACGUGUCUGGUUUCUUCGACAACACUCUGCAUCACGAGUCUUUCACUUUCUUCCCUCUAUCUCUCCUCCCAUGACUGACUUGGAUAUUUACUGUAUCAAUGCAUAAUAAUGUUAAAGACUAAAGGUUUUAUGA
This is a long non-coding RNA of Tupaia belangeri chinensis (Chinese tree shrew), 804 nucleotides long. RefSeq lists it as uncharacterized. The transcript has 3 exons. Lineage: Eukaryota; Metazoa; Chordata; Mammalia; Scandentia; Tupaiidae. The record is from RefSeq and is a predicted model, not a curated record.